Molecule: ribosomal RNA, 497 nt
Filed under: uncultured bacterium
Lineage: Bacteria
Description: partial 16S ribosomal RNA
Rfam family: Bacterial small subunit ribosomal RNA
Source: RNAcentral
GAUGAACGCUGGCGGCGGGCCUAAUACAUGCAAGUCGAACGAACAGAUGAGGAACUUGCUCCCCUGACGUUAGCGGGGGACGGGUGAGUAACAUGUGCGGAACCUACCUAGAAAACUGGGAUAACUUCGGGAAACCGGAGCCAAUACCGGGUUAUAUAUUGAACCGCAUGGUUCGAGAGUGAAUGGCGGUUUUGCUGUGACUUAGACAAGCAUGGCGGCCGCAUUAACUAGGUGGUAGGGUAACGGCUUACAAAGGCGGCCAUGCGUAGGCGACCUGAGAGGGUGAUCGGCCACACGGGAACUGAGACACGGUCCAGACUCCUACGGGAGGCAGCAGUAGGGAAUCUUCCGCAAUGGGCGAAAGCCUGACGGAGCAAAGCCGCGUGAGUGAUGAAGGUCUUCUGAUCGUAAAGCUCUGUUAGUAGGGAGGAACAAAUGUGUAAGUACCUAUGAACGUAUUGACGGUACCUGAAGAAAAAGCCCCGGCUAACUACGUG